Molecule: transfer RNA, 69 nt
Filed under: Desulfobacca acetoxidans
Lineage: Bacteria; Pseudomonadati; Thermodesulfobacteriota; Desulfobaccia; Desulfobaccales; Desulfobaccaceae
Description: tRNA-Leu
Source: RNAcentral
GCUGUGAGACCGGGUUAUUACUGAUUCGUAAUCAGCAGGUCCGGGGUUCAAAUCCCCGUGCCGGCUCCA